GGCCGUGUGGCUCAAUGGCAGAGCGUCUGACUACGAUUUGGUAUAUCAGGAGGUUGCAGGUUCGACCCCUGUCUCGGUCA
This 80-nucleotide transfer RNA is filed under the name Trichoderma viride. RNAcentral describes it as "tRNA-Arg". It matches the Rfam family "tRNA". From Rfam's summary of the family: Transfer RNA (tRNA) molecules are approximately 80 nucleotides in length. Their secondary structure includes four short double-helical elements and three loops (D, anti-codon, and T loops). The record is from RNAcentral. RNAcentral also lists the same sequence under 1 other name. Lineage: Eukaryota; Fungi; Ascomycota; Sordariomycetes; Hypocreales; Hypocreaceae.